Long non-coding RNA from Micropterus dolomieu (smallmouth bass), 981 nucleotides. RefSeq lists it as uncharacterized. The record is from RefSeq and is a predicted model, not a curated record. NCBI's taxonomy places the organism in Eukaryota, Metazoa, Chordata, Actinopteri, Centrarchiformes, Centrarchidae. The transcript has 2 exons.
GCUUUCUUUUUCCUAAUGUCUCACUUGACGCUGAUUAAAAUAUCUCGUUCCACUGCCGUGUCUAUCUAAGUUAGUAACUUCCAACACCGAAUGUGACGGCCAGUAUUCACAUGUAACGUUAACGUUAAAUAUAUACGUUACAAACUCCAAAGCAGAAUGGCAUAUAGCGUCGUUUCAAAGCAAAGUCCACAUCUGCCCGACCUGUCAAAAGGCAGGCAGCUAACGUUAGAGCAAUGACAGUCAACGGAACCGGUUAGCUUAGCAUACUGGCUAACGAUAGCUAGCUCGGCAGCGAGGACAGCUCGUAUCGUGACACCAACGUGCACAGGCAACCGACGGCAAAACGACACCGAGGUGCACAAUUCCGAAGCAUUUUAUCACGUUUUACUAAUCAGCCUACUUACCCGUUAGAAUCCCUACUCGGGUCUGAUGGUCGUGGUUGGUGAGCACCAUACCGUCCGCCGCCAUGUUUACAACCUCUGUCUGCACUGUGCCGGCACAUACAUAGAAACAGUGUGGUGUGCGGGCUGCUGCUGCACCUCUGGAGGACGACUCUGUAUGUGUGUGAGCGCGCGUGUCCUUUGGGAUUUCAGUUCCUCCUCCUGAUCCUCACCUCACUCCCUUCACCUGGUUGUCCCCGCCUCGCUCCUCACCUGCCCUGCAGCUUAUUAGUCUGUGCACUUAUACCAGCCUCUUGCAAAACUGGCCAGUCUUCAGCCUACCGUUUCAGUGUUCCCUAGUUAGUCUUGGCCUGCUUCACCUGUUUCCUGGACCUUCUUCUGCCUAUUGGAUUUUGAUUUGUUUGCCUUUCUCUCAGACUGAUAACCUGGUAUUUUGACCCAGUCUGCUUAAUUAUGAGUAAACUGAACUUUGCCUUGUAUUACUGUCUCUGAGUUGUGCAUCUGGGCUCAUUCCUGUUAAGUUUCAUCUGAAAUGUGACAGUUGUAUUCGUUUCUGCAAUCAAUAAACUUGGUAAAGGCU